This 347-nucleotide unclassified non-coding RNA is filed under the name soil metagenome. Its description in RNAcentral is "partial contains 5.8S ribosomal RNA, internal transcribed spacer 2, and large subunit ribosomal RNA". The stretch from base 1 to 119 matches the Rfam family "5.8S ribosomal RNA", at positions 35 to 154 of the family's 154-position model. The record is from RNAcentral.
GAUGAAGAACGUAGCGAAAUGCGAAAGUAAUGUGAAUUGCAGAAUUCAGUGAAUCAUCGAGUCUUUGAACGCACAUUGCGCCCCCUGGUAUUCCGGGGGGCAUGCCUGUCCGAGCGUCAUUGCCGCCCUCAAGCACGGCUUGUGUGUUGGGCCCCCGCCCCCCGGCUUCGGGGGGCGGGCCCGAAAGGCAGCGGCGGCACCGCGUCCGGUCCUCGAGCGUAUGGGGCUUCGUCACCCGCUCUGUAGGCCCGGCCGGCGCCCGCCGGCGACCCCAAUCAAUCUUUCCAGGUUGACCUCGGAUCAGGUAGGGAUACCCGCUGAACUUAAGCAUAUCAAUAAGCGGAGGA